GUCCCUCUGCUCCAGAGGCUCAGGACACCGCCCUUUCACGGCGGUAACAGGGUUCGAAUCCCCAGGGGACGCCA
This 74-nucleotide transfer RNA is filed under the name Klebsiella pneumoniae. Its description in RNAcentral is "tRNA-Glu". It matches the Rfam family "tRNA". Rfam says of the family: Transfer RNA (tRNA) molecules are approximately 80 nucleotides in length. Their secondary structure includes four short double-helical elements and three loops (D, anti-codon, and T loops). Further hydrogen bonds mediate the characteristic L-shaped molecular structure. tRNAs have two regions of fundamental functional importance: the anti-codon, which is responsible for specific mRNA codon recognition, and the 3' end, to which the tRNAs corresponding amino acid is attached (by aminoacyl-tRNA synthetases). tRNAs cope with the degeneracy of the genetic code in two manners: having more than one tRNA (with a specific anti-codon) for a particular amino acid; and 'wobble' base-pairing, i.e. permitting non-standard base-pairing at the 3rd anti-codon position. Lineage: Bacteria; Pseudomonadati; Pseudomonadota; Gammaproteobacteria; Enterobacterales; Enterobacteriaceae. The record is from RNAcentral.